Molecule: non-coding RNA, 83 nt
Organism: Mauremys reevesii (Reeves's turtle)
Lineage: Eukaryota; Metazoa; Chordata; Testudines; Geoemydidae
Source: the annotation of a RefSeq genome assembly
GCCAGAAUGGCCGAUGGGUUAAGGCGUUGAAUUUAAGUUCCAAUGGACAUGUGUCCGCGUGGGUUCGAUCCCCACUUCUGGCA